RNAcentral lists this ribosomal RNA (460 nucleotides) under uncultured bacterium. RNAcentral describes it as "partial 16S ribosomal RNA". It matches the Rfam family "Bacterial small subunit ribosomal RNA", at positions 338 to 795 of the family's 1533-position model. The record is from RNAcentral.
CCUACGGGUGGCUGCAGUGAGGAAUAUUGGUCAAUGGACGAGAGCCUGAACCAGCCAAGUAGCGUGAAGGAUGACUGCCCUAUGGGUUGUAAACUUCUUUUAUAAAGGAAUAAAACGAGGCACGUGUGCCUUUUUGCAUGUACUUUAUGAAUAAGGAUCGGCUAACUCCGUGCCAGCAGCCGCGGUAAUACGGAGGAUCCGAGCGUUAUCCGGAUUUAUUGGGUUUAAAGGGAGCGUAGAUGGGUUGUUAAGUCAGUUGUGAAAGUUUGGGGCUCAACCGUAAAAUUGCAAUUGAUACUGGCAGGCUUGAGUACAGUUGAGGUAGGCGGAAUUCGUGGUGUAGCGGUGAAAUGCUUAGAUAUCACGUAGAACACCGAUUGCGAAGGCAGCUUACUAAACUGUGACUGACAUUGAUGCUCGAGAGUGUGGGUAGCAAACAGGAUUAGAUACCCUAGUAGUC